RNAcentral lists this long non-coding RNA (1459 nucleotides) under Heterocephalus glaber (naked mole-rat). RNAcentral's name for it is "lncRNA (ENSHGLG00000044400.1)". Lineage: Eukaryota; Metazoa; Chordata; Mammalia; Rodentia; Bathyergidae. The record is from RNAcentral.
AAGGAAGACAGCAGCUGUGCUGCAAGAGGAAAGAGCCUGUGAUUGCCCUCAGGGACUCCAGGAGCUCCCGAGUGGCCAGGGAGGAGGGAGCCCGCACAUCUUACCUCUGUGCUCUGGCCCGGGACUGCUGACACCCCAGCCCUGAUAGAGUGUAGCAAAGUCCUUUGGAAUGUAUGUCUUAAAGAUGUUGAGGAUGUCCAAGCGCUUCUCGUGGCCCUCAGCCACUGGCUCCUGCUUGAUGGAGUGUAAGACGGGGGGUGCUGCGUGCCAUCCCAGGCUGGGCCUGCAAGGCUGACCCUGAGGCUGAGGGCUGAAUUUGGCUUUCAGGGAGUCCGGGGCACUGUGCUUAUUUGGAGGGGCAAAGCCAGCCCCUGCCAACGGGACCCCACAAAAUUCUCCACCGGCUUGCUGCUGCCCAAGGGCUGGGCACCCACCCGAGUUAUAACAGAGGGUGUGGGGGUGGCACUCCUGCCAAGGCUUCCGCUGCCCAGGGCAGGUGCUGGCUUGGAGCUGGCCUCCAGCUUGGGUUUGGCUGGGGGCCCCUGCACUGAAGCACUGGAGGGUUCCUGACCUUGGCUGGGUUUGGUCUGUCGAUAGCCAUCGGGGCCAGGUGCCCACAGUGCACAGGGGCUAGAGGAAUGGCUCUCCUUAUUCUUAGGCAUGCUAGCCGCUGGGUCACUCCCAGGGGAGAAGAGAUGCCUUUGGGUCCAGGUGCCCCACCUGGCCCUUGAGUGCUUGGGUGAAGCGAGCAAGGAGUAGGGGCUGGCACUCUUUGCCCCCAAGGACAGGUGGAGGCCCUGUUCGUCCACUCCGGGCAAGAUAAACCAAGUUGCUUCUUAUGCUCUUGUAGCCAUUGGGCUGAAUCCACUGGGGGGCCAUGGAGUUGCAGCUGACCCUGUGCCAGAUGCGCUUGUGCAUCCAUAAGACCUCUGGGUAGUAGGUCUUGUGGUUACAAUAAGGACAUGGGUGAAUGACCAGAGCAGCCUGCAGGGAGGUAGCCACUUCCUUAUUGCUGGAGUCAUCCCGGGUCGACCUUGCACUUAAAUCUAGAGGGACCAGGUCUGGGGCCGGUGCACUUUUCCUCCCCCAGAAUGCUCCUUAUUGUGCAAAUCGGACAGCUUGUCUUUAGGAUGACCAGCCUGGCUCUCCAAUGUGAGCUGUAGGUCAGCUCCUUCUGUACUCGAAGGAAGUCCACACCAUCACUAGAGCUGGGCACCUCCUGCGUGGGGUGAAAUGCUGGCAUCUUUAGGUCAAGAGAAAAUCUACGUUGUUCAGGACGCUUGGAAGUCUCUCUGCUACUGUUUUCAAGUACGGACACAGAAGUUGCAAUCCCCACCUUGGACUCGCUGGUGUCUUUUCUUGGAGGAUUAUUUCCAAGUUGGUGACUCUGGUCUCCGUUGGACAGCACAGUUGAUGCUACCUCUUCAGAAGAGCAGCAGCGCCUCGGCUGUCCCCCUGG